RNAcentral lists this ribosomal RNA (624 nucleotides) under uncultured archaeon. Its description in RNAcentral is "bacterial SSU rRNA". It matches the Rfam family "Archaeal small subunit ribosomal RNA", at positions 78 to 704 of the family's 1478-position model. The record is from RNAcentral.
AAGGCAUACGGCUCAGUAACACGUAGUCAACUUACCCUAUGGACGAGGAUAAUCUCGGGAAACUGAGCAUAAUACUCGAUAGAUCAUAAUGCCUGGAAUGGUUUAUGGUUGAAAUGAUUCGUCGCCAUAGGAUGGGACUGCGGCCUAUCAGCUUGUUGGUGAGGUAAUGGCCCACCAAGGCGAUUACAGGUACGGGCUCUGAGAGGAGAAGCCCGGAGAUGGGUACUGAGACAAGGACCCAGGCCCUAUGGGGCGCAGCAGGCGAGAAAACUUUGCAAUGUGCGAAAGCACGACAAGGUUAAUCCGAGUGAUUUCUGCUAAAGAAAUCUUUUGCAAGUCAUAAAACCACUAGUGAAUAAGGGGUGGCAAGUUCUGGUGUCAGCCGCCGCGGUAAAACCAGCACCUCAAGUGGUCAGGAGGAUUAUUGGGCCUAAAGCAUCCGUAGCCGGCUCUGUAAGUUUUCGGUUAAAUCCAUGUGCUCAACGCAUGGGCUGCCGAAAAUACUGCAUAGCUAGGGAGUGGGAGAGGUAGACGGUACUCGGUAGGAAGGGGUAAAAUCCUUUGAUCUAUCGAUGACCACCUGUGGCGAAGGCGGUCUACCAGAACACGUUCGACGGUGAGGGA